CAUUCUGAAGAUGACUCUGCAGGCAUGGAGUUCAUUCCAGAGGAGGUCAGAGUCACUCAGCAUGAAGAGAGGGUGUAACAGGAUGUUGUCUCUGCUGAGGAAGUGGGGCUGCCACCUGAUGGGCUGUCCAUCAUCACCCCAGGAGAGGCUGGGCCAGGUUGUGGUGCGUCCAACCCCCAGCCCUCUGGGCAGACCGGUUGUGAUCUAAGUCAUUUCAAGAAGGGUUACUUCUCUUUCGCUUGCUGGGAAAGGGAGAAGUUCAUGGAAUGACGAAGGUCUUGAUAGACUCAACCUGAAGCAGCCCUUAGGAGCCAGCAGAUCCGGUAGCCCCAGCAGAUGUCAUUGGCUCGGAGGUCUGUAGGGAAGAGGAUAUCACAAGACCAGCUGCACAGUCACGGAAGGGGCUCUGGGGCUUUGCAGCAAGGCUCCUUCUCCUUCAGUGACUGAUCUCCUUUGAAGAAAGAACUUCUGGCCUGCUUCUGCGCAGGCAGCGACGGCCUGUUUGACCGCAGAGCACCAGGGUUGCUCAGUGGACCGAUGGCCAGAGGUUGGUGUGUCAAGAAUUUGGGGUGUCAAGUUUAAGCACAAAGCAUGGACCUUGUCUGACAAGACAGGCUGGCCACUGACUGUUAAGUAUUUCCCCACAAAAGGGACAAGCCCGGAGCCAGGUUACCAGCCCACACCUCAAGACAGGCUCUUCUUUUAGAAAAUGGACAAAGCUCUAUGACCAGAAGAAGCACUUUGGGGAAUUUAAAUUUACUUUCCCGGACACGACUCCACUAUCAUCACUACCCCUGAACUUAUGGGGCAUCCAAACUUCAGUCUCAGCAGGUGCAGCUGUGGCACUGGGACGGACACAGGAAGCAAUGUGGGAUCUUUGCUGCCAGUGAGCUCCCAGUCUAGGAGAAGAGAGAGGAAGCAUCUUUAUCUGUGUUAUCCCAGGAUCUCACUCUGUCGCCCAGGCUGGAGUGCACUGGUGCAACCUCGGCUCACUGCAGCCCUGACGUCCCGGGCUCAAGCGAUCCUCCUAUCUCAGCCUCCUGAGUACCUGGGACAGCAGGAGUGCAACACCACACCAACACCAGACCACAGCCUUGACCCCUGAGUUUAGAACAUGCAAGAAAUUCCUACAAAUCAAUUAGAAAAAACAGGCGAUUUAAUUAGAGAAAUGGGCAAAAGACCUGAACAAGCACUUUACCAAAGAAGAGAUCAAAACAGUUACUCAAUGGAUGCUCAACUGUGUUAUUCAUCAGUGGAUGCUGCUUAAAACCACGUUGAGAUAUCACUACAUAGCCGCCAGGACAGCAAAGUCAGGAAAGAGGAGCAGGAAUCAGUGAGGAUACAGAGAAACUGAACUCAAACAUUGUUGGUGGGAACUGAACUCACACACUGCUGAGGGGAACUGAACUCACUCACACACCACUGGGGGGACUGAACUCACACAGCACUGAGGGGACUGAACUCACUCGCACACCACGGGGGGAACUGAACUCACUCGCACACCAUGGGGGGGACUGAACUCACUCGCACACCACUGGGGGGACUGAACUCACACACCACGGGAGGACUGAACUCACUCACACACAAUGGGGGGGACUGAACUCACUCACCUACCACUGGGGGGACUGAACUCACACACCACGGGGGGACUGAACUCACUCACACAGCACUGGGGGACUGAGCUCACUCACACAGCACUGGGGGGGACUGAGCUCACUCGCACAGCACUGGGGGACUGAGCUCACUAGCACAGCACUGGGGGCACUGAGCUCACUCGCACAGCACUGGGGGGACUGAGCUCACUUGCACACCACGGGGGGGACUGAGCUCACCACGGGGGUGCCUGAGCUCACUCACACACAACUGGGGGGACUGAAGUCACUCACAUACCACUGGGGGGACUGAACUCACUUGCACACCACUGGGGGACUGAACUCACACCCACACCGCUGGGGGGACUGAACUACUCACACACUGCUGGGGGGACUGAGCUCACACACCACGGGGGGACUGAACUCACUCGCACAGCACGAGGGGGACUGAGCUCACUUGCACACCAUGGAGGGGACUGAGCUCACCACGGGGGGGUCUGAGCUCCCUCACACACCACUGGGGGGACUGAGCUCCCUCACACAGCGCUGGGGUGACUGAGCUCCCUCACACAGCGCUGGGGGGACUGAGCUCCCUCGCACACCGCGGGGGGGACUCAGCUCACAUGCACAGCACUGGGUGGACUCAGCUCACUCGCACAGCACUGGGUGGGCUGAACUCCACUCGCACAGCACUGGGUGGACUGAGCUCACUCACACACCACGGGGGGCCUGAACUCACUCACACACAACUGGGGGGACUGAGCUCACUCACACACCACUGGGGGGACUGAACUCACACACACACCACUGGGGGGACUGAGCUCACUCACACAGCACUGGGUGGACUGAACUCACUCACACACCACAGUGGGGACUGAACUCACUCACACAGCACUAGGUGGACUGAACUCACUCACACACCACUGGGGGGACUGAGCUCACUCACACACCACUGGGGGGACUGAGCUCACUCACACACCACGGGGGGCCUGAACUCACUCACACACAACUGGGGGAACUGAGCUCACUCACACACCACUGGGGGGACUGAGCUCACUCACACACCACGGGGGGCCUGAACUCACUCACACACAACUGGGGGGACUGAGCUCACUCACACAGCCCUGGGUGGACUGAACUCACUCACACACCACAGUGGGGACUGAACUCACUCACACAGCACUGGGUGGACUGAACUCAAUCACACACCACUGGGGGAACUGAGCUCACUCACACAGCACUCGGGGGACUGAACUCACACACCACGGAGGGGGCCUGAACUCACUCACACACCACUGUGGGGAAACUGAACUCACUUGCGCACCGCUGGGGGGAAGUACAUUUUUGCAUUGACCCUAGAGCAGUAACCACUGAAACCGAACUGAAGCUUCCAUGGCGACGCUGUGAUUCCUCACGACCCGCAGAAAUUCAAACAUGUUGCACACAAGGUCAUGCGCAAGAAUGUUGACAGGAUCACUGUUUGUGUGUUUAUCUGAACCUUCACCUGCUCAUGAGAGAUGAAGGUUAUCAUGUGAACGUGGGGAAGACAUUGCCAAACAUCCAGGGGAGGUUUCCCCGGAGAGCAGACACCACCUCCCGUCACCGUCCUCUUGGAAAUGCCUUGCAGCACGGUCAAGGGACUCUGCUGCUCUGCCAGUCCACUGCGUAGGUCUUCCUGCUUCUCCACUUUAUUUCCACCAGAUUAUAAACUCUUGGAAACAAAUAUUCUGCCAUCACUCAUUUCUUUAUCACUCACAGCAUCUGGAUGUCCUCCACAACAGCAAGUGGCACCUGUCAUAUUUUGUUUUGUGUUUUUUUUUUGUUUUUUUUUUUUUUUUGAGACGGAGUCUCGCUCUCUUGCCCAGGCUGGAGUGCAGUGGUGUGAUCUCUGCUCAUUGCAAGCUCCCCCUCUCGGGUUCAAGCGAUUCUCCUGCCUCAGCCUCCCUAGUAGCUGGGACUACAGCUGCGUGCUGCCACGCCUGGCUAAUUUUUUGAAUUUUUAGUAGAGACGGGGUUUCACAGUGUUAGCCAGGACAGUCUUGAUCUCCGGCCCUCGUGAUCCACCCGCCUCGGCCUCCCGAAAGUGCUGGGAUUACAGGCAUGAGCCACCGCGCCCGGCCACCUGUCAUGUUUUACAGCUGAGGAAGCUGAGGUCACAUGUCCAAGGACUCAAGCAUGGGAUGUCUCUGUCCCUACCCAGCGUGGGUCUCACCACCACUCCUUAUUGACUCCACUCUGAUCAGACUGUGCCUCUGAUAACUCCCAGGACAGGCUCAGCCUUUUCAAGCUUCUGGGGCUUUGCAUUUGCUUUUGCCUCUACCUGGGUCUUUAUUUCUUCCAUUGUCCAAGGACCAAGUCCUCCUCAUCCUUCAGGUCUCAACUCCAGCUGGGCUCCGAGGAGGAGCUACCACCUGGGAUGCCACUACCUGUCGGGCCUGCCUCCCUCUCUUACUCGCUCGUGUCCUUGCAUUUCACUCAUUGAAUGAUCUUAAACUGUAAUGACAUGAUAAUUAUUUU
Molecule: long non-coding RNA, 4109 nt
Organism: Pongo pygmaeus (Bornean orangutan)
Lineage: Eukaryota; Metazoa; Chordata; Mammalia; Primates; Hominidae
Exons: 5
Source: RefSeq, a predicted model, not a curated record